CAACAGGAAACCUGUGAUCUAUGCUCACUUUCACUUAAAGCAGGUGAAUUGGUUUCAGCAACUACUGAGGCAGAAAGGAGUAACAGUGUCAGGGUUGCUGGGGACACAAUGGUAAACGGUCAGGCCUAUCGGCUGACCGGCGCUCAGUGUAAAUCAACACCACAGAGGAAAAGAUGUGGUAAUGAGGGCCAUUUCUCUUUCCAAACAGGAGCAAAGGACUUAUUAGGCCUAAUUUUCAAGGAUGUACAGAAAACACGGCAGGGUGUCACUCCACUGAGGUGAGAUCUCAGGUUCAAUGGGAAACUGUCUGUUUUUUGGGGGGUGGAGGGGCUCA
Molecule: long non-coding RNA, 334 nt
Organism: Sinocyclocheilus anshuiensis
Lineage: Eukaryota; Metazoa; Chordata; Actinopteri; Cypriniformes; Cyprinidae
Exons: 3
Source: RefSeq, a predicted model, not a curated record